Molecule: ribosomal RNA, 531 nt
Filed under: Scutiger boulengeri (Xizang alpine toad)
Lineage: Eukaryota; Metazoa; Chordata; Amphibia; Anura; Megophryidae
Description: partial 16S ribosomal RNA
Rfam family: Bacterial large subunit ribosomal RNA
Source: RNAcentral
UUUGAAUCUUAUAAAAGGUAACGCCUGCCCAGUGACUUUAUGUUUAACGGCCGCGGUACUCUGACCGUGCAAAGGUAGCGUAAUCACUUGUCUUUUAAAUAAGGACUAGUAUGAAUGGCAUCACGAGGGCUUAGCUGUCUCCCUCAUCUAAUCAGUGAAACUGAUCUUCCUGUGAAAAAGCAGGAAUUAACACAUAAGACGAGAAGACCCUAUGGAGCUUUAAACCAAAAACUACCUGUUUAAUCUAUUAUUCUAAAAUAAUUUCAAAUCAACCGACCUAGUCUAGGUUUUCAGUUGGGGUGACUGUGGAGAAAAAUAAAUCCUCCACGCAGACUUAAGCUUUGAGCAACCGCUCUACGCAUUAGCAAGUCUAACUGCACUUGAUCCAAUAUUUUUGAUCAACGGACCAAGUUACCCUAGGGAUAACAGCGCAAUCCAUUUCAAGAGUCCAUAUCGACAAAUGGGUUUACGACCUCGAUGUUGGAUUAGGACACCCAAGUGGUGCAGCCGCUACAUAAGGUUCGUUUGUUC